This 72-nucleotide transfer RNA is filed under the name Chitinophaga rupis. RNAcentral describes it as "Chitinophaga sp. CS5-B1 tRNA". It matches the Rfam family "tRNA". From Rfam's summary of the family: Transfer RNA (tRNA) molecules are approximately 80 nucleotides in length. Their secondary structure includes four short double-helical elements and three loops (D, anti-codon, and T loops). Lineage: Bacteria; Pseudomonadati; Bacteroidota; Chitinophagia; Chitinophagales; Chitinophagaceae. The record is from Rfam by way of RNAcentral.
UGCUGGAUAGUGUAAUGGUCAACACAUCGCAUUUUGGCUGCGAUAGUUUCAGUUCGAUUCUGAAUCCGGCAA